AACCAUAGAAACCUGCGGAGUACCUGCGGAAGGAUCAUUACUGAAGAAAUGGCUAGAGCUGAGCUGGCUCCUAGGAGUACGUGCUCGCUCUGGUCGCUCCUUCUCACUUUCCACUGUGCACCUUUUGUAGGCUUUUAACGAUGAACUUCUCAGUUGCAUUGCAACUGGUGUCAAGGGCUUUUCGUACCCUUGACAGUCGUUAGCCUACGUAUUACAAACUCUUAUAAGUCUAUGAAUGUC
RNAcentral lists this unclassified non-coding RNA (240 nucleotides) under soil metagenome. Its description in RNAcentral is "partial contains 5.8S ribosomal RNA, internal transcribed spacer 2, and large subunit ribosomal RNA". The record is from RNAcentral.